This 469-nucleotide ribosomal RNA is filed under the name uncultured bacterium. RNAcentral's name for it is "partial 16S ribosomal RNA". It matches the Rfam family "Bacterial small subunit ribosomal RNA", at positions 28 to 507 of the family's 1533-position model. The record is from RNAcentral.
GACGAACGCUGGCGGCGUGCUUAACACAUGCAAGUCGAACGGAAAGGCCCUGCUUGCAGGGUGCUCGAGUGGCGAACGGGUGAGUAACACGUGGGUGAUCUGCCCCUUACUUUGGGAUAAGCCUGGGAAACUGGGUCUAAUACUGGAUAGGACCAUGCUGUAAGUGGUGUGUUGGAAAGUUUAGUUUCGGUAAGGGAUGAGCUCGCGGCCUAUCAGCUUGUUGGUGGGGUAAUGGCCUACCAAGGCGUCGACGGGUAGCCGGCCUGAGAGGGUGGACGGCAACAUUGGGACUGCGAUACGGCGCAGACGCAUACGGGAGGCAGCAGUGGGGGAUAGUGCAAAAUGGGCGCAAGCCUGAUGCAGCGACGCCGCGUGGGGGAUGACGGCCUUCGGGUUGUAAACCACUUUCAGCCAUGACGAAGCCCUUGUGGUGACGGUAGUGGUAGAAGAAGCACCGGCUAACUACGUG